RNAcentral lists this ribosomal RNA (491 nucleotides) under uncultured bacterium. RNAcentral's name for it is "bacterial SSU rRNA". It matches the Rfam family "Bacterial small subunit ribosomal RNA", at positions 28 to 516 of the family's 1533-position model. The record is from RNAcentral.
GAUGAACGCUAGCGGCAGGCUUAAUACAUGCAAGUCGUGGGGCAGCGCAGGUAGCAAUACUGGGCGGCGACCGGCAAACGGGUGCGGAACACGUACACAACCUUCCGAGAAGUGGGGAAUAGCCCAGAGAAAUUUGGAUUAAUACCCCGUAACAUAACGAUGUGGCAUCACAUUGUUAUUAUAGCUUCGGCGCUUCUUGAUGGGUGUGCGGCUGAUUAGAUAGUUGGCGGGGUAACGGCCCACCAAGUCUACGAUCAGUAGCUGAUGUGAGAGCAUGAUCAGCCACACGGGCACUGAGACACGGGCCCGACUCCUACGGGAGCAGCAGUAAGGAAUAUUGGUCAAUGGACGCAAGUCUGAACCAGCCAUGCCGCGUGAAGGAUUAAGGUCCUCUGGAUUGUAAACUUCUUUAUCUGGGACGAAAAAAGGCGAUUCUUCGUCACUUGACGGUACCAGAUGAAUAAGCACCGGCUAACUCCGUGCCAGCAGCC